CCAUAAUGCAACACCCCCUGCUGACAUUCCACCAAACAAGUGUGUGCUUUUGUCUGAUUCGACCCUGCCCAGCUUUUUACACCUGCAUGGAAUUACCUUUUAAAGUAUCAUCAGAAGCAGCCGAGGUGAUAAAACUAAACGCCUCCUCGUGCCAAAGGGCAGGGGGUGUUUCAUUAUGGUGGAGCAUUAUGGCAGAGAUCAAUCGAGAUCGGAGCACACAUGAUGGAGGUGGGUUAACACCGUGUGCAUUUACAAGAGUUCACGAACGAAUUGUAAACGGAUUAAAAAACACAACAAACUGCAAGAGUCUCGGCGGAGCGUCUUCACCGAGCGAGGGAAGACUUCACCGAAAUGACGUCACGGAGAUUCCCGAAAACUCCAACCUGAGUGUCGUUUUCCACCCUCCCCCUCAACACACACACACACACACACACACACACACACACACACACACACACACACACACACACACACACCACACACACACACACACACACACACACACACACACACACACACACACACACACACACACACACACACGUCACGAGACGAAGGGAGGUGUGAAUUGGAGGUUGUACGAGGAAACACCUCAAAUGCCCUUUUUUGGUGUUUCAUCGACACAUCCAGCGGUUCGACAGUUACCGAAGUCCACACACUAUCAGCGUCGCGAUGUACACACGGAUGGACAACGUUUUAAACAUGGACACAUCGUUCCGCUGGCUCCUUCUGUUCAUCGAUCUCUACCUUUUACUGUCCUCGGCGAACGCAACCGCCGACACAGAACCACUGGAUGAAGAGAUCAAGAAAAAGUGUAACUUCUCUCUCAAUGAAAUCCAAGACUGUAAGCACCGUGCCUGUAUGGAAACAAAUUUACAAUGUCAGAAAUUGAAGAAUGACCAGGACACAGUAGAAAGUUGUCAAAUUGAUGAGUGCAUGAAAGGAAAAAAAAGAUGCGAAAAAGUUCUGAACAGAUAUCUCACUGAUGAACAAAUUUGCGAGGGAGACGAGUUUUCAAACGUGGACGGAUAUUGUAUGAAGUCACAUCGAAAGUCGCUCAAAGAUCUCAUAGAAUGCAAGACAACCGGCUACCUGGAUGCGAAGAAAACUUGUUUUAAGUUGGACUACAAAGGCCGCAUCCAGAAACAGGCAAUGAAAGAAUUUAAUAAAAAGACAUGCGAUGAAGCCUUACAAUGCACGCUGGAUAACUGCUUUGAAGAUGUGCAACAAUGUCUGCGGAAUUAUCAUGAGAAGUUGUCUAUGGAUCCAGGGAAAUACAGACAUUUUGAGCUUAGCCACUGUGCCUACAUUGCAGUCGAUUAUCCUCACGAGUGUGAGACAUUCACAUCCACCUCUUGUUCAAAGGAGCUGAAGGAGUGCAAUGGCAAAUGUGCUUUAUCAUCCCUUGGAAUUGGUGUUGGUGUGGUUAUUUUGGUUAUUCUGGCAAUAAUCAUACUGGCUGGAAUCGCCGUAUGGUGUGCCCGACGUCGACGACAUCGUUCUCCUGCAACCUGUAACUUUUGCUGUCUGUCUGAAGCCCCACUCCUAACUGAAAACAAACUUUAUAACACAAAACGUAAUACACAUACGUCGUCACUGCAUUUUUGUUCUCUGCACUGAUAACGAGGAUCAUUGAAGAGCUGUUGAGUAUGUCGUAGAGAUUGAGGGAAGGAACAGAAUAUGAUAUGAGAUGGUAAUGAAGCACCACCUUGGAUGGUUGGAGGGUCGAACAAGGUAUCCAAUUGACAAAGGGUAUUCUAAAAAGUGAAAUCAAAAGUAGAGUAAAAUGCUGGAUAUGAUCAAUGAGGAGGAAGAGGAGGAGCUUGGGACCAUACUCUGUGCAGAGCAUUGGUGCUGCUUAAGCAGUCCCCUUGGCUAUUGGGCACAAUCCUGGAUGGGUCGCCACUCUGACACAGUAUACCAGCACACUCCAACACAGUGUAAUGCACACCUGUUAUCCUCAUUGUCAUGUCAAGCUUGGAGCAAUCAGAUGGCACUCAUUUUGCCGACCUCGGAAGGAUGACAGGCCAAGUUAACCCCACCUGGUAUUUAUUCAACAGGUGAGCAGGAUUUGAAGUCUGGACCCUCGGAUCCAAAGCCCACCACCCUAACCAUUAAGCCAACACCAGGCAUCAAUGAGCUUUAACAUUAAGACAUUAAUAGCUCUUCAAUGACCCCUGUGGUUGGAUUUGGUGGAUAGCAGAGAGACAACGAGCUGUCAUACCGAAUGGCUCAAGAGCGUCGAACACAUCUGAAGUCAGUAGAUUUUGAUGACGAAUUGAUAAAGGACUCAGCAAAUAAGUAUAAUUAACAUCAUCCAACAGAAUAGUUCUUUAAUGAUGAGACACAAUAUGCCAAACCACCAUAUGUGUAUGUGUGUGCACCUUAUCCUGCAGUAUUUCACAGGUUCCUUUUCUGGGGACUAUGGGGAGAAUGUAAAAAACGGAUUUGGCUUUCGUUAUCCAUCAUUCCUUAUUUUGAUGUUGUCCUGGUUAUUCUGGUUAUAUUCUACGUGGCUGAUUCAUUUUAAUAUUCUUCAUCUUUUCAUUGGUUUUAGGACUUGAGCCUGUCUGCUGUGAGUUCCUGAGGUAAGCAGCUUUUGGCACAUGUUUCUGGAGUAAACAAUGAAAUAGAUGCUUAAAACAGUGUGCAUAGAACUACAAUUUUCCAUAUUAACUGCAAAAAGCCAUAUAACAGGUUGCAUUCUGCAAAUUUUCUCCACUAUCAUUUAACUCCUUCAUGAGCCAAUAUUUUGGUAAUUAAAAAAUAAAAUAAAAUGUGUCCAAGUGAAUGAAGUAUUGUCAGUCCUGGAGUAGAAAUCAAGUACAGGACGUGCAAAUACAAGAAAUGAAAUUUUGCUUCGUCCAAGCACUAAACAACAUGAUGUGCAGGUAGUACAGAUACAUGAGGACCCUGAAGGUUAUACACGGAGGUAUAAUAGGACAUUGGUGUGGCCACAUUAUUUUAACAGCACGUUUUUCACACAGGAGCCCAGGCUUGGAAAUGUGAUGCAUACCUUUUGUCCUCAUUUGUCACGUCAAGCAUGGAGCAAUCAGAUGGCACAUUGCAGAAUGAAUCGCUCUGACAAGCCAUUUCCAUUCUUCCAUGUGCUGGAAAACCAAAAUGCACAACCAACAAAUAAGUAAACCAUAGCACACAUAUGGAUUUGAAAUAUAUGUAAACCAUAGCACACAUAUGGAUU
Molecule: long non-coding RNA, 3202 nt
Organism: Eptatretus burgeri (inshore hagfish)
Lineage: Eukaryota; Metazoa; Chordata; Myxini; Myxiniformes; Myxinidae
Source: Ensembl